This is a long non-coding RNA of Alligator sinensis (Chinese alligator), 2912 nucleotides long. RefSeq lists it as uncharacterized. The record is from RefSeq and is a predicted model, not a curated record. Lineage: Eukaryota; Metazoa; Chordata; Crocodylia; Alligatoridae. The transcript has 3 exons.
CAUCAGAUCGUCGUCGCCCUGCAAGCACACAUGGCAGCCGCUGCGGUCAGUUGAUGAGAGAAGGGCACACAAGUAGGUCCGGCUAAGCUAGGGGCUUGGCACGACGUGCACUUGCUGCCAGGUACUGUGCUUAUGACCCUGGCGGUCCCAUUGCCUUCUCGGUGUCAUGCAUAACGUUUCAGGGGCCAGGUUUUCAAUGGAGCUCAUCUGUGUGCGUUGAGCCUAGCUCAUGAGCUGCCGAAUGCUUGAAAACCUGGGCCCUUCUCCCUGGACUGCAAAGGACCCUUCCUACGGAGGAAACUCAGACCCAAGGAAGUGCCCCAGCAAUAUUUUGCACGUGCAGAGAGAAACAGGACAGGCACUGUCAUCAUGGAGAGCUCGACCUUCCUAGACGGAGCUUGUAGAACAAGUACUACCGACAGCAGGAGGCCCAGAUGUGAUCAUUUCCUCACCAAAUAGUCCUGCCCAUUUCUCUUGUCUCUGCAUUAGAUCCUGCCUCGGCUCUGUUCCUUGUCAGCCUCUGCCAGGCUCUCCCUCCCUUGCCCAUACAGGAUGCAUGCAGGACUCCCUCUGAGCCCACUUGCCUCCCUGACACAAGGGGAUCCAGUGGCUUGAGCGGGUGGCAAUGGGCAGUCCGUCCUCCUCUAGGUGAGCAGCUUAAAUGCAGUGUCAGCAGUGUCUGAGAGCCGUGAGGUGACCCAUGUAAAACAAGGAGCUGGUGUUGGUCUGGUCCCCGAGCAUAAUGAACUGGCACGGCAGAGCCCACAUGGCAUUGCAAGCGUUCACGAAAAAUGGGCAGUGACUGAGUGCAACUCCUCCAUCCGCUCAGGAGCUUAACUGGUUUUGUGCUGUUUGGAGCUACUGGGACCAGCUGUUCCCUGGGCUACGUGGGCACCUUUGACGGUUGCAUAAAAAUGAGCUUCCUGGUAUUUUAACCCUGUGCAUGAGCAAUCAAAUGAGGACAGCAAUGAGAAUACAGUGCCGUGGUAAUGCCUGGCUCAGGUGUUUGGCCUGCAGUGAUGGCUUCAGCAGUAGCUCUGCAUCCCCUUUUAGCACAGGGUGCCGUAGAGAAGGGGAGAGAGGGCAAUGGGGCAUGUGGGUGACAAAACAGGCAGCGGUUUGUAGCUGUUCCCCUGCUCUUGGCCAUCGGCCCAGGGAUCCUCAAUGCACUGCUGCAGCUGGAAGCUGUCAGGCUUGGUGAAGGUGUAGAUGUGGCGUGGUCUAAUAAGUGUGGGCUGCAGGAACCCUUAGCUACAAUAGGCAAUAGGUGGCUUGUGUUUCCUUAGCAGAAAGGAGUCUGCGCUGGUCGUCUGCCCCCUCCCUGCUGCCUGGUGGCCUGGAUUCAUUUUUUGCUUGGUGCCAGAAUCACUGCCGUGGGCAUGAGGAGCUCCUCUGCUGCCAUGCAGUAGUGACUGCCCCGGGCUGUGCCCGAGGUGGCGACCACACAGCCCUGUACAUUAAAGGGGACCAGCUGGUCCCUUGCUUUCACAGUCACAGGCAUCAUUUGCUGAAUGAGCCCCAUGGCCUAUCCGCGUUGUGGUAAGGAGUGACUGAGGAGCUGGCUCCCCUGCACCCCAAGCUGCAGGCACUUUUGGGAAGAGACCUAUGCAUCCACAUGCUCCUUGUCUUCACGCUGACCACAGACCCCUGGACUAACCCCUGCCUAUUCCCUCUGCAUGGUGAUGCCCCUUUGGGGGGCAUGGGGCUCACUGCCGAACCCUACUGCCUUCACCUUGCUGUGCAGUGGCACUUGCCAGGGGUUUCUGCAGCUUCCAUUUCAAGUGCCCUGCACAAGUGCAGCCCUUGCCAGCCUCCCUAAACCAGGGUCCUGUGCCCCUGCUGGCCUCCAUGCAGCCUUCUCCACACUGGGCCAUGCAGUGCAUGGGCCUGUGAUCCAGGCAGCGAGGUUUAGGUUAUGCCAGCUCAUUCCCCCGGGGGAUCCUCCUCCAGUCUUGGCUCCACUAGCGAUGGGGGAACCUGUCUACAUCUUCAUUUCCCAUUUUCUCAUGUUAUUUUCACUUCCCCAACAUGACUGUUGCGAGCAUGAGGUUGAUUCCUACGUCCAACCUGGUAAGAGGUUGAGGCCUGAGUGAGAUUUCCCUGCGGUCGCUGAAUAUCACAGCGGCCCUUCAUGCGGGAUCAAUGCCGAAUACCAUUCAGUUUCUUUAUGGAACAGAUUCCCCACUGCUCAAAGCACAGGUCACCUGCAGGGCUGAUCAUGAGUCUAACGGGGAGUUUUGGCUGGAGUCUGCUUGCAAAGUACAGACUCGGAGCAAAACAGGGGUGAGGGAGCUGAGUGUUUGAUGCAGCUGUGGGUCCCAGAGAGAAGCAAUAGGUGCUGCCAGGGGAAGGCAGUGAGGAAGCCCCAGAUACAGGCAGAGAAGCCCUUGGAGCAUGAGAUUGGGAAGGAGGUAGAGGAGGAGAAGAAAGCUUCUGGAUAGAGCCACUGGAAACAGGUGAGGAACCGGGCGCAAGAAACCGUGUCCUGCUAUUUGCAUCCUAUUGUGCAUACAGCAACUGGGCCCUGUGUGUCCUUGGCACUGAGAAGCUACCCCACCCCAUCAUCAAAUCCUUCUCUUCCCAGAAACAACGCGCAAGACGUUGAAUAUUGGCUAACAGUGGUAGGAUGGGACCCACAUCUGGAUGGACGCAUUGCCAAAGCUGCCUCUUCUCCCUGGCACGUCUUCCUGCUUCCUCUGGGGAUGGGUCAACUGAGGCACACGAGGCCAGAUCCUCAGCAGAUGUAAACCAGCGCUGCUCUGUCACAACCAAGGAAAGUAUCUCCAGGAAGUUCUCGUUGAGGUCGAUCAGCUCCUGGAUGUUGCUGAACACGCCCAGCAGCUGCUCCUGGGUCAGCAGCCCAGCCGCCUGCAUGGGCAGGUAAAACUCCUCCUUGAUGAUCCGCAGGUCCU